AUGUCAACAUGAGCUAACCUGGGCCUACAAAAUAGAGCCUCACCUUUAAUAGAGCAAUUAACCUUUUUUCAUGACCACACUUUGCUUAUUCUUGUAAUAAUUACAGUACUAGUAGGAUAUUUAAUAUUCAUACUAUUUUUUAAUAAUUAUACUAACCGAUUCUUAUUACAUGGACAAACUAUCGAAAUAAUUUGGACAAUUCUACCCGCUAUCGUACUUUUGUUUAUUGCCUUUCCAUCCUUACGUCUAUUGUACUUAUUAGAUGAAAUUAACGAACCAGCAAUCACUAUUAAGUCAAUUGGGCACCAAUGAUACUGAAGCUACGAAUAUUCUGAUUUUAUUGACUUAGAAUUCGAUUCAUAUAUAAUUCCUACAAAUGACCUUACCCCAGAAGGGUUCCGACUCUUAGACGUUGACAACCGGGUUAUUAUCCCAAUAAAUUCACAAACCCGAGUAUUAGUUACUGCUGCUGAUGUAAUUCAUUCAUGAACAGUCCCCUCCCUAGGAGUAAAAGUAGACGGAACCCCAGGACGAUUAAACCAGACCAACUUCCUAAUUAGACGACCAGGCCUAUUCUUCGGGCAAUGCUCAGAAAUUUGCGGAGCUAACCACAGAUUCAUGCCUAUUGUGAUUGAAAGUGUACCAGUAAGUCAAUUUAUCAAAUGAAUUUCU
RNAcentral lists this ribosomal RNA (672 nucleotides) under Rhaphiomidas hirsuticaudus. RNAcentral describes it as "partial 16S ribosomal RNA". The record is from RNAcentral. Lineage: Eukaryota; Metazoa; Arthropoda; Insecta; Diptera; Mydidae.